GGGAGUGAUAGGCUUCGAUAGGAAGGAUCAUUUUAUAUAUGCAUGUAAAGUACCCAGGAAUCUUUUAAAACUUCUUGGAAAAGACUAAGUGCAAACAAAGUCGCUUCAGUUAAGUCUCCAUAUUUUGGAAGCUUAGCUCUCGCAUACGCCUAAAUUUAGGUCUAGCGAGUGUUCACUUUUUAGACAUCCGAUAUAAAAAGUGGGCAUAAUUUAUCGGGUUAAGGAUUUGUAAAUGCUUGAUAUAAAUCCUAACAAUUUAAAGCUCGGUGUUUAUCUUUAUUGUAUAUUCUCUAGGAUAAACAUUUAAACCAAUUGAAUAUAAUAAACAUGUAGAGUUAUUUAAAAUUUCUUCUUACACGCGGGUUCGAAUCCCGCCACUUCCACAC
RNAcentral lists this transfer-messenger RNA (386 nucleotides) under Parcubacteria bacterium RAAC4_OD1_1. It matches the Rfam family "transfer-messenger RNA". From Rfam's summary of the family: Bacterial tmRNA, also known as 10Sa RNA or SsrA, is named for its dual tRNA and mRNA-like properties. Its role is to liberate the mRNA from a stalled ribosome. To accomplish this part of the tmRNA is used as a reading frame that ends in a translation stop signal. The record is from Rfam by way of RNAcentral. Lineage: Bacteria; Candidatus Parcubacteria. RNAcentral also lists the same sequence under 2 other names.